Molecule: long non-coding RNA, 449 nt
Filed under: Penaeus monodon (black tiger shrimp)
Lineage: Eukaryota; Metazoa; Arthropoda; Malacostraca; Decapoda; Penaeidae
Description: uncharacterized LOC119568766, transcript variant X3
Source: RNAcentral
AAAGAAAAUGGGAAUUUGAAAGAAGAAAAUGGGAACCUGAGAGAGAAAAUUAUACAGUUACUAAGAGAGAAGGACAGCCUCUGGCACUCGAACCAGCGUCUGGAGGAGGUCGCGACGUGGCAGAGGCGGGCGGCGACGGGGGGCGCAGAGUGGCAGAGGGACGCGACGGCCAGCGCCUGCACGGCCUUCACCCUGCUGAGGAGGAGGCACCACUGCCGGCACUGCGGGAGGAUCUUCUGCUCGGGAUGCGUCGAUAACUGGAUCCUGACCGAGGCGGAGAGCCGGCGAGUUCGUGUGUGCGACGAGUGCUUCUCCGUCCAGGCAGAGUUGGCUUCCCUCGUGGCUUCGCUCCCCUCGCGCUGGAGGAGCAGGACGGAGGGAGAGGCAGGUUGGCUGCCUCCGCCUCCUUCGAGUCGUACUUCUUCUUCAUCUCUUUCUGUUGCUCCUCG